This 449-nucleotide ribosomal RNA is filed under the name uncultured bacterium. RNAcentral describes it as "partial 16S ribosomal RNA". It matches the Rfam family "Bacterial small subunit ribosomal RNA", at positions 29 to 523 of the family's 1533-position model. The record is from RNAcentral.
AACGAACGCUGGCGGCAUGCCUAACACAUGCAAGUCGAACGAGAUCUUCGGGUCUAGUGGCGCACGGGUGCGUAACGCGUGGGAAUCUGCCCUUUGGUUCGGAAUAACAGUUGGAAACGACUGCUAAUACCGGAUGAUGACGAAAGUCCAAAGAUUUAUCGCCAGAGGAUGAGCCCGCGUAGGAUUAGCCAGUUGGUGUGGUAAAGGCGCACCAAGGCGACGAUCCUUAGCUGGUCUGAGAGGAUGAUCAGCCACACUGGGACUGAGACACGGCCCAGACUCCUACGGGAGGCAGCAGUGGGGAAUAUUGGACAAUGGGCGAAAGCCUGAUCCAGCAAUGCCGCGUGAGUGAUGAAGGCCUUAGGGUUGUAAAGCUCUUUUACCCGGGAUGAUAAUGACAGUACCGGGAGAAUGAGCUCCGGCUAACUCCGUGCCAGCCGCCGCUGUAA